GGCCUCAUAGCUCAGUUGGUUAGAGCGAUGGUUGUACAGAAGCCCUUUCUUGCUGUCGUAGGUUCGAAUCUCACCGAGGCCA
This 82-nucleotide transfer RNA is filed under the name Schistocephalus solidus. It matches the Rfam family "tRNA". Rfam says of the family: Transfer RNA (tRNA) molecules are approximately 80 nucleotides in length. Lineage: Eukaryota; Metazoa; Platyhelminthes; Cestoda; Diphyllobothriidea; Diphyllobothriidae. The record is from Rfam by way of RNAcentral.